GUUGUGAGGUUAAGCGACUAAGCGUACACGGUGGAUGCCCUGGCAGUCAGAGGCGAUGAAGGACGUGCUAAUCUGCGAAAAGCGUCGGUAAGGUGAUAUGAACCGUUACAGCCGGCGAUGUCCGAAUGGGGAAACCCAGUGCAAUUCGUUGCACUACCGUUAACUGAAUACAUAGGUUAACGAGGCGAACCGGGGGAACUGAAACAUCUAAGUACCCCGAGGAAAAGAAAUCAACCGAGAUUCCCUCAGUAGCGGCGAGCGAACGGGGAUUAGCCCUUAAGCAUCUUGGAAGUUAGUGGAACGGUCCUGGAAAGGCCGGCGAUACAGGGUGAUAGCCCCGUACACGAAAACAACCUUGAUGUGAAAUCGAGUAGGGCGGGACACGUGACAUCCUGUCUGGAUAUGGGGGGACCAUCCUCCAAGGCUAAAUACUCCUGACUGACCGAUAGUGAACCAGUACCGUGAGGGAAAGGCGAAAAGAACCCCUGUGAGGGGAGUGAAAUAGAACCUGAAACCGUGUACGUACAAGCAGUGGGAGCCCUUCGGGGUGACUGCGUACCUUUUGUAUAAUGGGUCAGCGACUUACAUUUUGUAGCGAGGUUAACCGUAUAGGGGAGCCGUAGGGAAACCGAGUCUUAACUGGGCGUCUAGUUGCAAGGUGUAGACCCGAAACCGGGUGAUCUAGCCAUGGGCAGGUUGAAGGUUGAGUAACAUCAACUGGAGGACCGAACCCACUAACGUUGCAAAGUUAGGGGAUGACCUGUGGCUGGGGGUGAAAGGCCAAUCAAACUCGGAGAUAGCUGGUUCUCUCCGAAAGCUAUUUAGGUAGCGCCUCGGACGAAUACUACUGGGGGUAGAGCACUGUUUGGGCUAGGGGGUCAUCCCGACUUACCAACCCCAUGCAAACUCCGAAUACCAGUAAGUAAUAUCCGGGAGACACACGGCGGGUGCUAACGUCCGUCGUGAAGAGGGAAACAACCCAGACCGCCGGCUAAGGUCCCAAAGUUCUGGUUAAGUGGGAAACGAUGUGGGAAGGCUCAGACAGCUAGGAUGUUGGCUUAGAAGCAGCCAUCAUUUAAAGAAAGCGUAAUAGCUCACUAGUCGAGUCGGCCUGCGCGGAAGAUGUAACGGGGCUCAAACCAGGCACCGAAGCCGCGGAUUCACACUAAGUGUGAGUGGUAGGGGAGUGUUCUGUAAGUCUGCGAAAGUGUAUCGAGAGGUACGCUGGAGAUAUCAGAAGUGCGUAUGCUGACGUAAGUAACGAUAAAGGGGGUGAAAAGCCUCCUGCCGGAAGACCAAGGUUCCUGUCCAACGUUAAUCGGGGCGGGGUGAGUCGACCCCUAAGCGAGGCCGAAAGGCGUAGUCGAUGGGAAGCAGGCUAAUAUUCCUGCACGACUUGUAAUUGCGAUGGGGGGACGGAGAAGGCUAGGUGGGCCAGGCGACGGUUGUCCUGGUGAAAGUGCGUANGUGGUGUUUCUAGGCAAAUCCGGAGACACAACACUGAGACACGAGACGAACGCACUAACGGUGCGGAAGCCAUGGAUGCCCUGCUUACAGGAAAAGCCUCUAAGCUUAAGAAUAACAGUAAUGGUACCCCAAACCGACACAGGGGGUCGGGUAGGGAAUACCAAGGCGCCUUGAGAGAACUCGGGUGAAAGGAACUAGGCAAAAUAAAACCGUAACUUCGGGAGAAGGUUCGCUCUUGGACAGUGAAGUCCCUUGCGGAUGGAGCAGUUGGGAGUCGCAGUGACCAGAUGGCUGGGACUGUUUAUCAAAAACACAGCACUCUGCAAACACGAAAGUGNACGUAUAGGGUGUGACACCUGCCCGGUGCCGGAAGGUUAAUUGAUGGGGUUAGCGCAAGCGAAGCUCUUGAUCGAAGCCCCGGUAAACGGCGGCCGUAACUAUAACGGUCCUAAGGUAGCGAAAUUCCUUGUCGGGUAAGUUCCGACCUGCACGAAUGGUGUAACCAUGGCCAUGCUGUCUCCACCCGAGACUCAGUGAAAUCGAAUUCGCCGUGAAGAUGCGGUGUACCCGCGGCUAGACGGAAAGACCCCGUGAACCUUUACUACAGCUUGGCACUGAACAUUGAACCUACAUGUGUAGGAUAGGUGGGAGGCUUUGAAGGCGUGACGCCAGUUGCGCUGGAGCCGUCCUUGAAAUACCACCCUUGUAUGUUUGAUGUUCUAACGCAGGCCCCUGAAUCGGGGUCGCGGACAGUGCCUGGAGGGUAGUUUGACUGGGGCGGUCUCCUCCCAAAGAGUAACGGAGGAGCACGAAGGUUGGCUAAUCCUGGUCGGACAUCAGGAGGUUAGUGCAAUGGCAUAAGCCAGCUUAACUGCGAGACGGACAGGUCGAGCAGGUACGAAAGUAGGUCAUAGUGAUCCGGUGGUUCUGAAUGGAAGGGCCAUCGCUCAACGAAUAAAAGCAAUCGAAUUACCCGCGGCCGGCCAUGGCGGCGAGAAGGCUGCCUAG
Molecule: ribosomal RNA, 2475 nt
Filed under: Aeromonas hydrophila
Lineage: Bacteria; Pseudomonadati; Pseudomonadota; Gammaproteobacteria; Aeromonadales; Aeromonadaceae
Description: bacterial LSU rRNA
Rfam family: Bacterial large subunit ribosomal RNA
Source: RNAcentral